UACGGAGGUGGCAAGCGUUGCUCGGAAUCACUGGGCGUAAAGGGUGCGUAGGCGGGUCUUUAAGUCAGGGGUGAAAUCCUGGAGCUCAACUCCAGAACUGCCUUUGAUACUGAAGAUCUUGAGUUCGGGAGAGGUGAGUGGAACUGCGAGUGUAGAGGUGAAAUUCGUAGAUAUUCGCAAGAACACCAGUGGCGAAGGCGGCUCACUGGCCCGAUACUGACGCUGAGGCACGAAAGCGUGGAGAGCAAACAGG
This 253-nucleotide ribosomal RNA is filed under the name uncultured bacterium. RNAcentral describes it as "partial 16S ribosomal RNA". It matches the Rfam family "Bacterial small subunit ribosomal RNA", at positions 524 to 776 of the family's 1533-position model. The record is from RNAcentral.